AACGAACGCUGGCGGCAUGCCUAACACAUGCAAGUCGAACGCUCCGCAAGGGGAGUGGCGAACGGGUGAGUAACGCGUGGGAACCUGCCCAGUAGUUGGGGAUAACCGCGGGAAACUGCGGCUAAUACCGAAUACGCCCUAAGGGGAAAGAUUAUCGCUAUUGGAGGGGCCCGCGUCGGAUUAGCUGGUUGUGAGUAACGGCUCACCAAGGCGACGAUCCGUAGCUGGUCUGAGAGGAUGAUCAGCCACACUGGGACUUAGACACGGCCCAGACUCCUACGGGAGGCAGCAGUGGGGAAUAUUGGACAAAUGGGGGCAACCCUGAUCCAGCAAUGCCGCGUGAGUGAUG
RNAcentral lists this ribosomal RNA (349 nucleotides) under uncultured bacterium. RNAcentral describes it as "bacterial SSU rRNA". It matches the Rfam family "Bacterial small subunit ribosomal RNA", at positions 29 to 410 of the family's 1533-position model. The record is from RNAcentral.